RNAcentral lists this ribosomal RNA (253 nucleotides) under uncultured bacterium. RNAcentral describes it as "partial 16S ribosomal RNA". It matches the Rfam family "Bacterial small subunit ribosomal RNA", at positions 524 to 776 of the family's 1533-position model. The record is from RNAcentral.
UACGUAGGGGGCAAGCGUUGUCCGGAUUUAUUGGGCGUAAAGAGCGUGUAGGCGGCUAGGUAGGUCCGUUGUGAAAACUCGAGGCUCAACCUCGAGACGUCGAUGGAAACCAUCUAGCUAGAGUCCGGAAGAGGAGAGUGGAAUUCCUGGUGUAGCGGUGAAAUGCGCAGAUAUCAGGAGGAACACCGAUGGCGAAGGCAGCUCGCUGGGACGGUACUGACGCUGAGACGCGAAAGCGUGGGGAGCAAACAGG